Mustela erminea (ermine) is the source of this 97-nucleotide long non-coding RNA. RefSeq lists it as uncharacterized. The transcript has 3 exons. The record is from RefSeq and is a predicted model, not a curated record. NCBI's taxonomy places the organism in Eukaryota, Metazoa, Chordata, Mammalia, Carnivora, Mustelidae.
GUACAAGGAACACAUAUUCACAUUUAAAGACAUAACAUGGAGACAUACAUGAAGACAUACAUUGUUGGCCUCCGAGUCAUUGAAAACACCAAGGACA